UGGGGAAUAUUGCGCAAUGGGGGAAACCCUGACGCAGCAACGCCGCGUGAAGGAUGAAGGUUUUCGGAUCGUAAACUUCUUUGAUGAGGGACGAACAAAAUGACGGUACCUCAAAAACAAGCCACGGCUAACUACGUGCCAGCAGCCGCGGUAAUACGUAGGUGGCGAGCGUUGUCCGGAAUUACUGGGUGUAAAGGGCGUGUAGGCGGGGAUGUAAGUCAGAUGUGAAAUUCCAUGGCUCAACUGUGGGGCUGCAUCUGAAACUAUGUCUCUUGAGUGCCGGAGAGGGAAGCGGAAUUCCUAGUGUAGCGGUGAAAUGCGUAGAUAUUAGGAGGAACACCAGUGGCGAAGGCGGCUUUCUGAGCGGUAACUGACGCUGAGGCGCGAAAGCGUGGGGAGCAAACA
Molecule: ribosomal RNA, 405 nt
Filed under: uncultured bacterium
Lineage: Bacteria
Description: bacterial SSU rRNA
Rfam family: Bacterial small subunit ribosomal RNA
Source: RNAcentral